Long non-coding RNA from Manis pentadactyla (Chinese pangolin), 1133 nucleotides. RefSeq lists it as uncharacterized. The record is from RefSeq and is a predicted model, not a curated record. The transcript is spliced from 6 exons. NCBI's taxonomy places the organism in Eukaryota, Metazoa, Chordata, Mammalia, Pholidota, Manidae.
CUCACCUCCCGGGUCACGGCGGCCGGGAUGAGUCCGCGCCGCCGCCCAGCCUCCGAGUUUCCGCCCCGAGGCGCGCGGCCUCCUCAGCCCGCCCCAUCUCGCCGCUCCGAACCUCAGGGAAGCUCCGGGUCCUUCCGAGCAGUCUCCGCUGCGCAGCCCGCGCCCCUCACCCCGCCCCGCCGCGGCGCGGGCAACCAGCCCCUCAGACACGCGCCGACGCCCCCCGCCCCGCCUCCAGCCACCGCAGCAGCUGCCACGCGGGACACGGCGGGCCAAGACCCCGCGACUAAACGACUGCUGCCGUCAGUAGCGCGGGAGGUAAAGCCAGACCUCUUCCGGCUGCCUCGAGUACCCGCAGACUGAUUCCUCCUGCCCCGCAGACAGGUGCAACUAUUGCAGAGAAUUGCUAAAUAUCAAAUACCUGCAGAAUCAUGUAUUGGAGAAAUGAGAAAAUACUACCAGACUCUGCUGGGAAACAGUACUGCAGGAGGUGAAGAACAGAUGGUUGUAAGACAUAUGAAACAUCAACACUGACUGAAAGGCUUUUUCUCCUAAAACAGAAAAGAGCUGGAUCCUGUGUUGCUUAUGUGAGGCUCUUGAGUACCCGCCGUUCAAGUCCCAAACUACUGCAUGGAUUUCUAGGACUUGUACAAGCAAAAGUGAGGACAAAUUUCAGCUCAAGAAAAUGAGGACAGCACAUUUCCCUGUGAGCCACCCUUGGACCAUGCAGCAUGCGAGGGUGGCUCUCCCAGACCAUCUCCAGUGAUCAGGCGACACAUCUGAGGAUAAAUUUCAGAAAAUGAAAACAAACAAUUAUUGGUGCUUUUCAUAAAUUUCUGAAGAAAAGAAUGUAUUUCUCCCAAGUUUAAGACUGACUGCACUAUAAGUAACCAAACAAUUAUAAGAAGCUGCCCGUUGUGUUUCUGUGGUUUAGGAAAAAGGGCCAAGUCGGAAGGAAAAGACAUUCCCGGCAUUUUCUGAGGCUAGAUAAAUACAGAAAAGAAAUACAGAUGAAAGAUGGAACUGCUGUGUAUAGGCCCUGCCAGAUUCCUCGACUUUUUGGCAUACUGAUUGAAUUUGGCAAAUGUAACCAGGAACAAUCUUUUCCAAUAUAAAAAGCAGCGUAUACUUUA